CCUACGGGUGGCUGCAGUGAGGAAUAUUGGUCAAUGGACGGAAGUCUGAACCAGCCAUGCCGCGUGCAGGAAGACGGCUCUAUGAGUUGUAAACUGCUUUUGUACAAGGGUAAACCUGAAUACGUGUAUUCAGCUGAAUGUACUGUACGAAUAAGGAUCGGCUAACUCCGUGCCAGCAGCCGCGGUAAUACGGAGGAUCCAAGCGUUAGCCGGAUUUAUUGGGGUUAAAGGGUGCGUAGGCGGAUUGAUAAGUUAGAGGUGAAAUGUCCGGGCUUAACUCGGGAACUGCCUUUGAUACGGGUGAUCGAGAGAGUAGAUGCGGAAGGCGGAAUGUAUGGUGUAGCGGUGAAAUGCUUAGAGAUCAUACAGAACACCGAUUGCGAAGGCAGCUUACCAAUCUAUAACUGACGUUGAGGCACGAAAGCGUGGGGAGCAAACAGGAUUAGAUACCCGAGUAGUC
This 460-nucleotide ribosomal RNA is filed under the name uncultured bacterium. RNAcentral's name for it is "partial 16S ribosomal RNA". It matches the Rfam family "Bacterial small subunit ribosomal RNA", at positions 338 to 795 of the family's 1533-position model. The record is from RNAcentral.